CAAUGGGUAGAUAUUCAGAGGAACCCAAUGGGGGAAGGCGAUUAUUGGANGAAUCCCUGACUGAGGGACGGAAGGUAGGGGAGCAACCAGGAAUUGAUACCCUGGUAGUCAGAGCUUGAAAGCGGGGACGUUGGCUGUAAAAGGAAUCGACCCUUUUGUUGGCGAAGCUAACGCGAUAAACGUGCGGCAUGGGGAGUACGUUGCAAGGAUUAAAACUCAAAGAAAUUGACGGGGCCUUGCACAAGCGGUGGAGUAUGUGGCUUAAUUCGAUGCAACGCGAAGAACCUUACCUGGCCUUGACAUGCACGUGGUAGAAGCCUGAAAGGGUAACGAUCCCGCAAGGGAAGCGUGCACAGGUGCUGCAUGGCUGUCGUCAGCUCGUGUCGUGAGAUGUUGGGUUAAGUCCCGCAACGAGCGCAACCCUUGUGUCCUGUUGCCACUCAAACGAGAGUUUGGAGCACUCUGGACAGACUGCCUCGCUUAAACGAGGAGGAAGGUGGGGAUGACGUCAAGUCAGGAUGGCCCUUACGGCCAGGGCUGCACACGUACUACAAUGCCCGGUACAGAGGGAAGCAAGACCGAUAGGUGGAGCAAAUCCCAAAAAACCGGGCUCAGUUCAGAUUGUCGGCUGCAACUCGCCGACAUGAAGCUGGAAUCGCUAGUAAUGGCGCAUCAGCUACGGCGCCGUGAAUACGUUCCCAGGCCUUGUACACACCGCCCGUCACAUCAUGAAAGCCGGUUGUACCCGAAGUCACCGCGUUAACCGCAAGGAGACAGGUGCCGAAGGUAUGGCUGGUGAUUGGGAUGAAGUCGUAACAAGGUAAAUCGAAUUCCCGCGGCC
This 841-nucleotide ribosomal RNA is filed under the name uncultured Verrucomicrobium sp. RNAcentral's name for it is "bacterial SSU rRNA". It matches the Rfam family "Bacterial small subunit ribosomal RNA", at positions 684 to 1533 of the family's 1533-position model. The record is from RNAcentral. Lineage: Bacteria; Pseudomonadati; Verrucomicrobiota; Verrucomicrobiia; Verrucomicrobiales; Verrucomicrobiaceae.